Molecule: ribosomal RNA, 1439 nt
Filed under: uncultured bacterium
Lineage: Bacteria
Description: bacterial SSU rRNA
Rfam family: Bacterial small subunit ribosomal RNA
Source: RNAcentral
AGGGUUUGAUCAUGGCUCAGAACGUACGCUGGCGGCACGCCUAACACAUGCAAGUCGAACGAAGUAGCAAUACUUAGUGGCAGACGGGUGAGUAACAUGUAGGUAUCUGCCCUUUGGCCUGGAAUAACACGAGGAAACUUGUGCUAAUACCGGAUAAGUCUUUACGGAGAAAGCUUUAUGCACCAUUGGAUGAGCCUGCACUUGAUUAGUUUGUUGGUGGGGUAAUGGCCUACCAAGACUGUGAUCAAUAGCUGAUUUGAGAGGAUGAUCAGCCACAUUGGGACUGAGACACGGCCCAAACUCCUACGGGAGGCAGCAGUGGGGAAUCUUGCACAAUGGAGGAAACUCUGAUGCAGCGAUGCCGCGUGAGUGAAGAAGGCCUUUGGGUUGUAAAGCUCUUUCGUCGGGGAAGAAAAUGACUGUACCCGAAUAAGAAGGUCCGGCUAACUUCGUGCCAGCAGCCGCGGUAAUACGAAGGGACCUAGCGUAGUUCGGAAUUACUGGGCUUAAAGAGUUCGUAGGUGGUUGAAAAAGUUAGUGGUGAAAUCCCAGAGCUUAACUCUGGAACUGCCAUUAAAACUUUUCAGCUAGAGUAUGAUAGAGGAAAGCAGAAUUUCUAGUGUAGAGGUGAAAUUCGUAGAUAUUAGAAAGAAUACCAAUUGCGAAGGCAGCUUUCUGGAUCAUUACUGACACUGAGGAACGAAAGCAUGGGUAGCGAAGAGGAUUAGAUACCCUCGUAGUCCAUGCCGUAAACGAUGUGUGUUAGACGUUGGAAAUUUAUUUUCAGUGUCGCAGGGAAACCGAUAAACACACCGCCUGGGGAGUACGACCGCAAGGUUAAAACUCAAAUGAAUUGACGGGGACCCGCACAAGUAGUGGAGCAUGUGGUUUAAUUCGAAGAUACGCGCAGAACCUUACCAACACUUGACAUGUUCGUCGCGACUCUAAGAGAUUAGAGUUUUCGGUUCGGCCGGACGAAACACAGGUGCUGCAUGGCUGUCGUCAGCUCGUGUCGUGAGAUGUUGGGUUAAGUCCCGCAACGAGCGCAACCCUCACUUUUAGUUGCCAUCAUUAAGUUGGGCACUCUGAAAGAACUGCCAGUGAUAAGCUGGAGGAAGGUGGGGAUGACGUCAAGUCCUCAUGGCCCUUACGUGUUGGGCUACACACGUGCUACAAUGGUAUCUACAACAGGAAGCAAGACUGCGAAGUUAAGCAAAUCCCUAAAAGAUACCUCAGUUCGGAUUGCACUCUGCAACUCGAGUGCAUGAAGCUGGAAUUACUAGUAAUCGUGGAUCAGCGUGCCACGGUGAAUGCGUUCCCGGGUCUUGUACACACCGCCCGUCACACCAUGGGAGUUGGUUCUACCUUAAGGCAAGGUUUCAAACCCUUGACCACGGUAUAGUCAGCGACUGGGGUGAAGUCGUAACAAGGUAGCCGUA